This 783-nucleotide ribosomal RNA is filed under the name Acinetobacter lwoffii. Its description in RNAcentral is "bacterial SSU rRNA". It matches the Rfam family "Bacterial small subunit ribosomal RNA", at positions 677 to 1458 of the family's 1533-position model. Lineage: Bacteria; Pseudomonadati; Pseudomonadota; Gammaproteobacteria; Moraxellales; Moraxellaceae. The record is from RNAcentral.
AGCGGUGAAAUGCGUAGAGAUCUGGAGGAAUACCGAUGGCGAAGGCAGCCAUCUGGCCUAAUACUGACACUGAGGUGAGAAAGCAUGGGGAGCAAACAGGAUUAGAUACCCUGGUAGUCCAUGCCGUAAACGAUGUCUACUAGCCGUUGGGGCCUUUGAGGCUUUAGUGGCGCAGCUAACGCGAUAAGUAGACCGCCUGGGGAGUACGGUCGCAAGACUAAAACUCAAAUGAAUUGACGGGGGCCCGCACAAGCGGUGGAGCAUGUGGUUUAAUUCGAUGCAACGCGAAGAACCUUACCUGGUCUUGACAUAGUAAGAACUUUCCAGAGAUGGAUUGGUGCCUUCGGGAACUUACAUACAGGUGCUGCAUGGCUGUCGUCAGCUCGUGUCGUGAGAUGUUGGGUUAAGUCCCGCAACGAGCGCAACCCUUUUCCUUAUUUGCCAGCGGGUUAAGCCGGGAACUUUAAGGAUACUGCCAGUGACAAACUGGAGGAAGGCGGGGACGACGUCAAGUCAUCAUGGCCCUUACGACCAGGGCUACACACGUGCUACAAUGGUCGGUACAAAGGGUUGCUACCUCGCGAGAGGAUGCUAAUCUCAAAAAGCCGAUCGUAGUCCGGAUCGCAGUCUGCAACUCGACUGCGUGAAGUCGGAAUCGCUAGUAAUCGCGGAUCAGAAUGCCGCGGUGAAUACGUUCCCGGGCCUUGUACACACCGCCCGUCACACCAUGGGAGUUUGUUGCACCAGAAGUAGGUAGUCUAACCGCAAGGAGGACCGCUUACC